GAAAAAGCUCAGCCCAGAAUCGGAGAUGGCAAGCAGAACAGCUUGGAUUGUGGCAGCCAGCGUUGGAGCAGUGGAGGCUUUGAAGGAUCAAGGCUUCUGCAGAUGGAACUACACUCUGAGAUCUCUUCACCAGCAUGCCAAGAACAAUCUUGGGUCCCUCUCUCAAUCUAAGGCCCUCGCUUCUUCUUCUUCUUCUUCUUCAUCAUCUUCUUCUUCUUCGAAGAUGGGUGUGAAUACUAGUGGGGAAGAUGAGAAAAGGAAGAAGAAGACAGAGGAAACAUGGGGGAAAGUCGUGUACUUGAACUCCUGGGGUCCCCACUGAAGCAAUGGACCUCUACUUUUAAGGUGUAUUACAAGAGCGAAAAUGUAGUAGAGGGCAGAUUUUAAUGUAUACUUUCGAAAAAUUUAUCAGAUUUCAGAUUUAUUACCAGAAUGAUUGUGUUACCUUUCAUGAUUUUUGCCAUGGGAACACUUUCUUUGUUGGAUUUGAUUGCAUUUUAGCCUCUUCAAAAAAGGAGCAAUCAAGACUUUGAAACAAACAGCACUUAAAAGAUCCACCUUCAGUAUAUUGUAUAUUGUAUUUUAUAGUUUGUUUUGAAUUGAUUGAUCAGGCAUUGUUCAUCCCCACAUUCCCUUCCUCCCAUCAGUAAAUCUCAUAACUACGGUUUGGGCCUAAUUUCAUCUGGUUAAGAAAAUCAUAUUGAUGAUUAAUUGGCUAUUUAGAAUCUUAUCAUGGUUUUAAUAGAAUCCCCUUUAAAUUAAUAGUUUAUUAGAAUAUUAGUGCUUUAAUAUAUAGUAUUAGUUUAUAUUUGGAAAUAAUAAUUUUAUAUAAUAUUAAAAUUUGUUCAGAUUCUCUGUUCGUUUUCUUGUUUAUUAAUCUUAUGUUUGGGUUUUGAAAAAAUGAAAAAUUUGUGAAAAAUGUGAGAAAAAUAAAAAGUGAAGAAAUAUGAAAAAUGCAUUUAAAGUUAAUAAAAUAAUUAUUUUUAGAUACUUCAUUAAAUUUAUUUUAUUUUAUUUAUAAAUUGUAAAUACAUCAAAUAAUUUGAAAAUAUAAAUAUUUUUAAUUAAUUUUAAUUACUCUUUUUUUUCCAUAUUUUAUCAUGAUAAAUUAGAUAUGAUAAAGUCAGUUUUUUUUUCUUUCACCCUUUGUUAGGCUUUCCCAACCAAACAUAGCCUAACUUACUUGUUUGGAGUCUUUUGGACAGCUCACAGAAAUUAGUCAGCAAAUUGUUUUGGAUUGCCGCAUUGUCACUUCUGAAACCAGCGGUUUCACUCCUUUUACUCUUCUACAAGAAAACGGAGGGCACAUAUCUGGCAACUGCCACCAUAAUUGCCCCUAGUUGGGUCCAAACAUGCAGGUGAAGGUCCAAUCAUGCCCACAGCUAAUUUCCUUUAGCAUCACAAAUCCAAGGACAAAGUAGUCAUUCCAAUUCAAAUCAAUCAACCCAUGAAAACUGCUGGCCAAAGCCUCUGGUUUUUCCCAAACUUUGGGCACCAAAUCCAACCCAUCUCUUGCUAUAAAACCAGCCCACCUUGACUUCAACUUCUUCAUCACAAGAUUCACAACACAAACACUUUGAUUUAGACAGAGAUCUUCAAUAACCAUUCGCCACUCAGAAUCAGUUCUUUUUAUUGUUGAUUGUUGUUUUGAGUUUUGGAGAAAGAAAAUUAAGAAGAUGAGUCAUAUGGGGAAAGCUUGGAUGGUGGCAGCAAGUGUGGGAGCAGUGGAGGCACUCAAGGAUCAGGGCUUUUGCAGAUGGAAUUACACCAUGAGGUCUAUUCACCAGCAUGCCAAGACCAACCUCAGGUCCUUUUCUCGGGCCAAGAAGCUCUCUUCUUCCUCUUCUGCCAUGGUUUCUAGCAGAGUGAGAGAUGAGAAGGCAAAGCAGUCAGAGGAGUCCUUGAGGACUGUCAUGUACCUGAGCUGCUGGGGGCCCAACUGAGGAAUAAGAUCUGGCCGGGUAUGAAGAUGAUGAUCAUCCUACCACUGAAUCAUCCAUGGAGGGCAUAUCCCAAGAAAGUGAUGAGAACAAUCUUAGUUCCCUACUUCGCUCUCUCAAGCUAAGAGCCUCUCUUCUUUUUCUUCUUCUUCUGAUAAGACGGGUGCAAACAAUGGCGGGGAAGAUGAGAAAAGGAAGAAGAAGACACAGAAAACAUUGGGAAAAGUCAUGUACUUGAGCUCCUGAGUCCCCCGUGAAGCAAUGGAUAGAGAUUUUGGGACGUGAUGCAAGAGUGAAAAAUUUGUAGAGAACCGCAGAUAGAUAUGAUGAUAUUGAUUUCAAUGUGUACUUCCAAAAAAAUGAUAUCAAAUUUCAGAUUUAUUAUCAUAAUAUUGUGUUGCCUUUCAUCAUUUUUGCCAUGGGAGUUGUUGGUUUUCGAGAGGGUUAGAAACUAAUUCUAUUUCGGAAAAAAGGAAUCACCAUCUUUGAGCAGUUCGAAAUUGCCCAGAUCUAAAAAAGACCUCGAUAAAAUAUAAAAAUGUUGCGCAGCUUGAGAUAUUUUUGUUCAUGAUUUGAUAGUCAUUUUUAAAAACGUUUUUAUUAUUUUUAAUAUUUAAAUGACAUAUAUUAAAAAAUUAAAAUUUUUUUUUCAAUUACUAAACAUUUCCUAAAAUUAUUACCUUUUAAUACUUCUUGAGCCCUCUCCUAUACUUCUUUUUCUCAAACAGUCUUUCUCAAUUCCGUCCUCGAUCUGAAAGAAUUUUAGCUUCUUUGAGUCUUACAAAAUAGAACAAUCAAAGCAAGAUCCGUCAUUUAGACACUAGGCUCAAAGGUUUCAUUAACAAACGAUACACCCCGACAAUCAUUUCUCCUCUUAUGAGUCAAAUUCAUAAUUUUACCUAUUAUUAGACAUUUCAAUUAAAAAUGAUGAAUAAGUGAUAUAAGUGAUAUAGUUAAAUUAAAUCUUUUAUGAUAUUUGAUAUCUUAUAUUAAAAAUUAGUUGACUUAUUACACUUUUAUUUGGGUUUUAAAAAGGGAAAAUUGUUUUGGACCCAACUGGUCCAAAAAUUAACAUUUGGUCCAUGUAACUUCCAUAAUUGAUAGAAAUGUUAUAAAAGGUUAAAAGACCAAUAUAUCUUUCAAAUUUCUAUAUAUAUUACUUUUUAAGGGUAUAAAAUAGUGAUGGACUAAAAUACCCUAUGACCUUUGACAUAAGUUUUUUUUUUCUUUAUUGCACCACUAUUCAUGCAACCAUAAUAAUUAUAUUUUAACAAUUUAGAUUUUUCAUUGUUUUUAAUUUUUUUUAUAAAUAAUUGAAAAUCAGCAUUAUUUUCUAUUUUAAAUUAUAAAUAAAGAAAAAUUAUGUUCAAAAACUAUUUUAAAAAACACUUUCUAAAAAAAUGGUAAUAUGAUUUAUAUUUUCUAUAUUUUCUUUUUGAAAAAACAUUUAAUUAAAAAAUGAAAAUUAUUUUUAAAAAUAAAAAUUGAAAACCUUGUUUAGUACUAUUUUUUUAUAUGAAAAUAAUAAAAAGAAUUAAAUUUCAUUCCUUGAUUAUCUAUUUUUAUUUUUUUUCCAUUAGUUAUUUUAAUAAUAAAAUAUAAAAAAUAUAAUAUGUUUACAAUUAAACAAAGAAAUUGAUCAAUUAUGUGUUUUUUGUGGGAAUAUCUUUUACAUGAAAAAUAAUUAAAUAACUAAAUUAUAUAUAUAUAUAUAUAUAUUACUCUUUUUAAUUUUAUUUUCUUUAUUUAUUUUUUGUCUAUUAGAAAAUUUUAAUAUAUCCAUAAUUAACAAAGUAAUAAAUCAAUUGUGCAUAUUUUAAUCUAUUAAAAUAAAUUAAUUUCUAAUUUAAAUAAAUAAAAUGAAAUAAGUAAAUAAAUUUAGGGUUAUUUCUAUUUUUUAACAUAUCUUAAAUUAAUAUUUUUUAUGGUUAAAUAAUUUUUUUUAAUUCCAAAAAUAAAAUUAAAUAAAUAAAUAAAUUUUAUAUUUUCUAACUGAUCUUAUAUUCAUAUUUCUUAUGGUUAAAUAUAUUUUUUAUUUUUUUCUUUAUUUUAAAAAAUAAAAGGAAAUAAAAAAAUAAACUUGGCUUAAAUAAUAGUUUUUAAUUAAUUUCUUUGUCUUAUUUUUAAUUACAUUUUGCAUUGAAAAUAAAAUAAAAUAACGUUUUAUUUGUUUUAAUUAUUUUAAAUGUCAAACUAUUAGGAACAUAGUUUACACACUCAUGUGGAUAUAAUUUAUACAUAUAUAUAUGAAGUUUAUACCAUUAUACAAAGUUAUUACACUAAUUAUAUAAGGGGUGUACAAAAUUGUACAUUUUGAACAACUUUCUUUUUUUUUUCUUGUCAUCUGAGAAUUAUACGUUCUCCUACCACAAAUUCAUAUAACAAUUCAAAUACUUACCUUAAUAAUGAUGUUUAGAGAAAUUUUUUUUUUUUUACGUUUUAUAUCAUUUUUUAAAUCAAACCAUUGGAAACAUGGUUCACACAUCAUAUGUGACAUAUAAUAUAUGCAUAUGGAUGAAAUUUGCAUCAUUGUACAAGGGUGUUAUACUAACUAUACAAGGUAAAUGUUCAAUUGGACAAGACAAAUAUUCUAACUAUAUAAAACAAAUGUUCUAACUCUACAAGGGGUAUACAAGGCUAUCAUUUGUGAAAGAUUUUAAUUAAUUUUGGACAAUUUUUUUUUUUUUUUUUGUCUUGUCAUCUAAGGAUUGCACACUUUUAAGGUACACAUUCCUCUAUUACACAUUCAUCUUAUACACUUUAUUUAACUCGCACAUGAUAAUUCGAAUACUUAUCCUAUUAAUGAUGUUUGAGAGAAAAUUUUGUUUUUCCAUCUUCCACUAUUUUUUGAAACAAACCAAUGAAAACAUGGUUAAACUACCUAUGAUUACACGUUAAGUAGAGGGUAUAAUGAAUUUGAGUCACUGUACAAAAUAUUUACACUAAGUGUACAUGACAAAUAUACUAAUUGUACAAGGGUGUACAAGACUAUUAUUUGUGAAGGAAUUUGAGUGAUUAUGAAAAACUUGUUUGUUUAUUUCCUCUAACCGAGGAUAAAUGACAUUCCUUACACACAUUGGUUAAACAUACAUUCAUUUCAUGCACUUUAUUUAACUUGUAUAUGGUCAUUUGAAUAGGUACCUCACUUAUGAUGAUUGUAAAACAAAAUUAUACAAUAAUUUUUAUUCUUUUUUAAAACCAAACCAAUGCAAACAUGGUUAACCGACCUAUUGUCAUAUAUUCAUGAGAUAAUGUAUAAAAUUUGAGUUAUUGUAUAAGGGUAUUACACUAACUGUACAAGACAAAUUUACUAAUCGUACAAGGGUAUACAAGACGCUUUUUGUUAAGAAUUUUAAGUGAUUUUGAAAAACUUUCUCAUUUGUUUCCACUCAAAGAUUUUUUUCCCCACUCAAAUUCUCUCACUCAAGAAUUGUUUCGAAUUUUAUUUUUAAAUUUUAUCAACAAAAUUUUGUAAUUGCAUAUUUUGUUUUUAUAGUUUUAGCAAUGUUCUUUCUUUCCACUUUUUUUUUUUGUGAAAUUUUAUCCAAAUGAAUCUAUAUUUAAAAUUAUAAUCAUAUUUAUCAAAUUUUUUACUAAGAUUAUCUUUAAUUCUUUUAAUAUAUUUAUAUUCAUUUAUUUAAAAAAUAAAAAACUAAUUUUUUUUUUGUAAACAUGUUCUAUUACCUUUCAAGAAUUAGAUAAGUUUGAAAGUCAAUAAAAAUAAUUAAAUACCACUUUCAAUAAUUUUUAGAUAAAAUUUUAUAUAAUAUAUUUUAUUUGAAAUUUAAUUUCUAAAGUUUAACUAAAAAAUUAUAUUUACAAUUUUUUUGUUGUGAGUCAAAAUACUUUACAUUAGUCUAUUUAGAUAAGAAAAAUUAUUAAUAUAAUAUUAGAAUUUUGUAUCUUAGUUAUUUUUUUCAAUAAAUUUAUCUUUUUAAAAAUUUUAAAAUAAAAACAUUAAAAAUUAAAAGCUAAAAGGAGAUAUAUAUAUAUAUAUAUAUAUAAUAAAGUGAAGUGAUAGUCAAUUUUUAAAUUUUUUAAAAUAUGGUUAAUAUAGAAAAUAUAAAAAAUAAUUAAAAAUAAGAAAAAAAUAUAAAUGAAAGGGUAAUAUAAAUUUAAAAUAAAAAUUAAAAAUUAAACUAAAAGAUAAAAAAAAUAUUUGGAUGAAAAAUCCCAAAAUUUUUAUCAUUGCUUAUAAUAAAAGCAAAAAGAUUCAAUAUCUUUAAAAAUGAAAAACAAACUUUUUAUUUGACAUAAAAUAGAAAUAUAGAUCGGAAGAAAAAGAAAAAAAAUUAGAAAUGAGUAAUACUUUAUAGGGAAUAGAAAAGGGAAAAAAAACACAAAAAAAAAUUAAAAUUCAUAUUUACUUGUGCCUAUGUAAGAGUUAAAGGUAUUUUAGGGAUUAAUAAAAAAUAAUAUCCUUCAUCUUAAUUUUCAUACUUUGUUUGGGUCUUGGAUUUAAAUAUGUAUGAUAUAUGAACUAAAUGUUAAUUUUUGGAUUCGGCUGAACCCAAAACACGAUUCUCCUUUUUAAUAAAAUCCUAUUAUGUAUUAUUCAUUCAUUGAAUAUGGUAGCUUAACAAUUAUUAGAGGUUUAAUAUAAUAUUGAAAUUUGUUCACGUUUUUUGUUAGGCGAGCUCACAGAAUUUAAGUCGAAUUGGCUUUUAGAUUGCCGCUUUGGAAACCAGCGGUUUCACUCCUUUUUUGGCGACUGCCACCAUGAUAAUACUUGGUUGACCAUGCAUGUGGGUGAAAACCCAAUCAUGCCCACAUCUAACUCCCUUUAGCAUUACAAAUCCAAGAACAAAGUAGUCAUUCCAAUUCAAAAGCAAACAAAGCCAUGAAUACUGCUGGCCACAGCCUCUGGUUUUUCGUAAACUUAGGGCACCAAAUCCAAACCCAUCUCUUUCCUAUAAAACCAACCCACCUUCACUUCAUCUUCUUCAUCACAACCCAAAACACUUUGAUUUACAGAGAGAUAUUCAAUAUCCCAUUCACUACUCAGUAUCAGUUCUUUUACUGUUGAUUGUUGUUUGAGUUUUGGAGGAAGAAAAUUAAGAAGAUGAGUCAUAUGGGGAAAGCUUGGAUAGUGGCAGCAAGCGUGGGAGCAGUGGAGGCACUCAAGGAUCAGGGCUUCUGCAGAUGGAAUUACACUAUGAGGUCUAUUCACCAGCAUGCCAGGAACAGCCUCAGGUCUUUUUCUCAGGUCAAGAAGCUCUCUUCCUCUUCCGCCAUGGUUUCUAGCAGAGUGAGAGACGAGAAAGCAAAGCAAUCAGAGGAGUCUCUGAGGACUGUCAUGUACCUGAGCUGCUGGGGACCCAACUGAGGAAGCAGAUCUGGAUAUGAAGAUGAUGAUCAUCCUACCACUGAAUCUUCCAUGGAGGGCAUAUCCCAAGAAAGUGAUAAGAACAAUCUUAGGCCCCUCUCUCAAGCUAGGAGCCUCUCUUCUUCUUCUUCCUAUAAGAUGGGUGUGAAGAGUAGUGGGGAAGAUGAGAAAAGGAAGAAGAAGACACAGAAAACAUUGGGGAAAGUCAUGCACUAGAGCUCCUGGGUCCCCAGUGGAGCAAUGGAUACAGAUUUUGCGGUGCAAUAUAAGAGUAAAAAUUUUGUAGACAACUGCAGAAAGAUGUGAUGAUCUUCAUGCGUACUUCAAAAAAAUGAAAUCAGAUAUCAGAUUUAUUAUCAUAAUAUUGUGUUGCCUUUUAUCAUUUUUUGCCAUGGGAUCACUAUCUUUGUUGGUUUUGAUUGAAUUUGAGCUUUAGCAGAUGGAGCAAUCAAGAGUUUGAAGCAAAAAGCACUUAAGAUCCACCUUCAGUGCAAUAUAUUUUGUUUUGAAUUGAUUGUGCAGGCAUUGUUCACCCCACAAUCCCUUCCUCCUCUCAGUCAAACUCAUAACUAUGGCUUGGCUCUAAUUUCAAUUCUCAAACAUCUUAACUGAAAAUCAUACUGAUGACUAAUAACAAUAAGUUCAACCUUUUAUGGCCUUUUUUUUUUUUCGGAGUGAUUGUUUGCGUGAUUCAUUUCAGACUUAAAAGAAUGAUGUUAUUGUGCCUAUACACAAAUUUUAUACUCAUGGUUUUAAUAGAAUCCCGUUCACUAUGUGAAAUUAAUAGUUUAAUAUAAUAUUAGAGUUUUAAUAUAUAGUAUUAUUUUAUAUUUUGAAAUUAGUAUUUUAAUAUAAUAUUAAAAUUUGUUCAGAUUUUCUGUUCGUUUUCUUGUUUAUUAAUCUUAUGGUUGGGUUUGAAAAAUGGAAAAUUUGAGAAAAAAAAAUGUGAGAAAAAAUUGAAAAAUAUACUUAAAAUUAAUAAAUUAUUUUUAGAUGCUUCAUUAAAUUUAUUAUAUUUUUAUAAAUUAUAAUUACAUUGAAUAAUUUAAAAAUAUAAAUUUUUUAAAUUAAUUUUAAUGACUUUUUUUUCCUUCUUUAAAAUUUUCAUGAUAAACUAGAAAUUGUAAAAUCAUUUGUGUUUUUUUCACCCUAUGUUGGACUUUUCCGGCCAAAUAUAGCUUAACUUUAGGGUUGUAAUUUGGACAAGUUGAUCGGCCUGAUCAUUGAUGGUCAAUCCAGACUCAAUCCAACCUUAUUUUUAAAAAAUAAAGUUAGUUAGUGGAGUUAAACUCAAAUUGAUUAGAUUAAACUUUAUAUUAAAACUUGGAUUGAUUAGGUUAAAUUUUAUGUUAAAAUUUGGAUUGAUUGGUUUAAAUUUCACCUUAAAAUUUGGAUUGAUUGGGUUAAACUUGAGUUGAUCCAAUUGAUUGAUUGUGUUGUAUAAUUCAAAAUUCAUUAAUAAUAGUUUUUUUUUUAAUUUUAUACAUUUAUACCAAAAUUUAGUUAGUAAUAAGACAAAAUUUCAAACAAUAAUAAUAAUAAUAAUAAUAAUAAUAAUAAUAAUAAACUCAUUUUUUUUUUCAAAAAAUGAAAAAAAUAUACUAAAUGAUCACAAUUUAAUAUUUUUCUUUAAAAUUUUAAAAAUAAAUAAAUAUUAUUAUAUUAGAUAAUAAAUAUUAUAAAAACAUUAAAUUUGGUUUGACUCGGAUUAUAGCCUAAAUCUAAUUCAAAUUGAAUUUUGGUUGUGAAAAAACUUAACCCAACCAAAUAUUGGAUUAAGUUGGGUCAACCCGUCAAAGUUAUACCCGUGACUUGUUUGGGCAUCUCACAGAAUUUAGUCAAACAGCUGAAAAUUAAUGGACUCCAGUGGGCAGAGUAAGUAAAGCAAAUUGUUUUGGAUUGCCGCAUUGUCACUUCUGAAACCAGCGGUUUCAGUCCUUUCACCCUUUUAGCAGGAAAACAGGGGGCACACCUCCUGGCAACUGCGACCAUAAUAACACUUAGUCGGGAAUAAAAAUGUAGCUGAAAAACCAAUCAUGCCCAAAUGUAACCUACUUUAGCAUUACAAAUCUAAGGACAAAGUAGUCAUUCCAAUUCAAACCAAACAAACCCAUGAAUACUGCUGGCCACAGCCUCUGGUUUUUGCCAAACGUUGGGCACCAAAUCCAAACCCAUCUAUUGCUAUAUAACCAACCCAUCUUCACUUCAUCUUCUUCAUCACAACACAAACACUUUGAUUUACAGAGAGAUCUUCUAUAUCCUAUUCACUACUCAGAAUCAGUUCUUUUUAUUGUUGAUUGUUGUUUGAGUUUUGGAGAGAGAAUUAAGAUGAGUCAUAUGGGGAAAGCUUGGAUAGUGGCAGCAAGUGUGGGAGCAGUGGAGGCACUCAAGGACCAGGGCUUCUGCAGAUGGAAUUACACUCUGAGGUCUAUUCACCAGCAUGCCAAGAACAACCUCAGGUCCUUUUCUCAGGCCAAGAAGCUCUCUUCUUCCUCUUCCGCCAUGGUUUCUAGCAGAGUGAGAGACGAGAAGGCCAAGCAAUCAGAGGAGUCUCUGAGGACCGUCAUGUACUUGAGCUGCUGGGGACCCAACUGAGGAAGAAGAUAUGAAGAUGGAUGAUCACCAGCAUACUAGUGAAGCAUCGAUGGAGGGCAUAUUCCAAGAAAGUGAUACGAACAACUUAGUUCCCUCUUUCAAGCUAAGAGCCUCUCUUCUUCUUCUCCUCCUUAUUCUUAUAAGAUGGAGGUGAAUAGUGGCGGAGAAGGUGAGAAAAGGAAGAAGACACAGAAAGUAAUGGGGAAAGUCGUGGGCUUGAGCUCCUGCGGUCCCAGUGAAGCAAUGGAUAGAGAUUUUGAGGUGUAACAUAAGAGUAAACAUUUUGUAGAGAUCUGCAGAUAGAUAAGAUGAUUUUAAUGUGUACUUAAAAAAAUGAAAUAAGAUUUCAGAUUUAUCAUCAUAAUAUUUGUGCCAUGGGACUAUCUUGGUUAGUUUUUUAGAGGGUUAAAAACUAAUUCUACUUUGGAAGAAAGGAAUCACCUUCAAAUUAAGCCAUCUUUCGAGCAGUUUGGAAAAACCCUUAUCUAAUAAAGACCUCUAUAAAGUACAAAAAGGUUGUGCUUUUACCAUAAAAAAGGUUGUUUCAAGCCCGAGAACAUCAGAAAUCAUCAUGCCAAGGUUGAUAGAGUUGCUAACAUACAGAUAAGAAAUUUUACCCAAAAAAAUAAAAUAAAAAAAUUAAAGCUUUGUCUUGAAAAGUCUCUCAAAUUCAGAUUCAUUUUUGGAAGAAGAAUAAGAGAUAUCUAAGUGAAGUGAGGGGUUCGUGGACAGGAAAUUUAAGAUAUUUUAAUAAUCCAAUAGUUUUAUUUGAUUUUUAUCAUAGUAUAAUAAAAUAAUUCUCUUUUAUUUGUGGAUGUAAGUUAAUCAAAACAUGUUAAGAUCUCGUGUAUUUUUGUGUGAAUUAUUUUAUUUUUACAUUCUAAAAUUAAUAUUUUUGUAUUAAAGCUUACAUUGAUACCAAAGCUAUGUUGAAGAUUUGUAAAAGAACAAAAAAAAAAAAAAAAAUAGUACACAAAAAAAAUGAUAAAAUGAAUUUUAAUUGAAAGUGAAGUUGAUUGUUUCCAAAACAUGAUACAAAAAAUAUGUUAUGAAAAGAUGAAAAAUUAACUUAAUGGAAUUUGAUGUCGAGAUUGUUCAAGAGUGCCUUAAAUUCUUAUUAAUAUUGAUUGAUUUUUAUAAGGAAUAUUGUAUAUAAUAUAUUUUAAGUUAAUAUAUUAUUAUAAUAUUAGAUUUCUUUAUUCAGUAAAGAAAGUUAUUAAAAAUAUUUUUAUAAAUAUUUUAAAUCUUAUAAGAUGAAGAUUAACUUGUAAAAAUUAUAUGAGAUGGAUAAAGAUGUAUAAAAAAAAUGAAAGAUAUCUUGAAUGAUGUAGUGAAAUGAUUCUCUCAUUCGCAUAUAUAGGCAUGAUUCAUCGAAUCAUAUUAAAACCUCAUGUAUUUUCCGGUGGAUUGUUUUAUUUUUAUGUUUUUAAACCAAUAUGUUUGUGUUAAGAUUUUCCCUUACCCAACACCUUCAACCCUCUCUUUUAUUUAUUUUUUUCAUUAUAUUUAUAAAGAGGUUUAUCCAAAGAUCUCAAUCCCUUGUCCUCAUCUUACCGUCUUUGAUCUAUCCGAGGAAUUUUAGUUUCUUUGGUAAUGAUUAAUUUUGAAUCUUACAAAACAAAACAAUCAAAAGUUUGAAACAAAGCAAGAUGCAUCAUUUAGACAAUUGGUUCAAAGGCUUCAUGAUAGACGUUACAUCCCAACAGUCAUUUAUGCUCUUAUAAGUCAAAUUCAUAAUCCAAUGUAUUAUUAGUUCAUUAUGUGAAAUUAAUAACUCAGCUAACAUUAGAGGUUUCAUAAAACACUAGAAUUUGUUCACAUUUUUGUUAGGUGAGCUCACAGAAUUCAAGUCCAAUUGGCAACUACUCCAAAAGUGAAUGUUAUUGAACUCCAAUAAGCAACUUGUUUUAGACUGCCGCAUUGUGGCUUUGGAAACCAGCGGUUUCACUCCUUUCACUCCUUUAGCAGGAAAACAGGGGACACAUCUUUGGCAGCUGCCACCAUGAUAAUUCUUAGUAGGGACCACACAAGUGGGUGAAAACCCAAUCAUACCCACAUCUAACUCCCCUUAGCAUUACAAAUCCAAGGACAAAGUAGUCAUUCCAAUUCAAACCAAACAAACCCAUGAAUACUGCUGGCCACAGCCUCUGGUUUUUUCCUAAAGUUUGGGCACCAAAUCCAAACCCAUCUCUUUUCUAUAAAACCAACCCACCUUCACUUCUUCUUCUUCAUCACAACACAAACACUUUGAUCUACAGAGAGAUCUUCAAAAUCCCAUUCACUACUCAAAUCGGUUCUUUUUAUUGUUGAUUGUUGUUUGAGUUUGGAGAAAGAAAAUUAAGAAGAUGAGUCAUAUGAGGAAAGCUUGGAUAGUGGCAGCAAGUGUGGGAGCAGUGGAGGCACUCAAGGACCAGGGCUUCUGCAGAUGGAAUUACACUAUGAGGUCUAUUCACCAGCAUGCCAAGAACAACCUCAGGUCCUUUUCUCAGGCCAAGAAGCUCUCUUCUUCCUCUUCUGCCAUGGUUUCUAGCAGAGUGAGAGAUGAGAAGGCAAAGCAGUCAGAGGAGUCUCUGAGGACUGUCAUGUACUUGAGCUGCUGGGGACCCAACUGAGGAAGAAGAUAUGAAGAUGGAUGAUCACCAGCCUACAGCGAAGCAUCCAUGGAGGGCAUAUUCCAAGAAAGUGAUAACUCAUAAGUGGAGUGGAGAUCAGUUUCAUGGAAUUUUUCCUAGAAGACAAACAAGGUGGAAAUCCAGAAAUUAAUUAGAACCAACUGCUAAUAGUUGGCGUCUCUGAGUUAGGAAUUUGUUAGCAAAAGGCAGCUUUGGUAUAUAUACUAAUAUACGAGAUGAUUUCAAUGUAUAUUUGAAAUAGAAAUUAGAUUUAUUAUCAAAACGAUUGCGUUGUCUCGUCUUUUAUAUUUUCCAGAUCCAAACAGAUCCUAAAGGCCCUAAAAUUUUUGUUGUAUCAUUUUUAUGCUAAAAAAUUACACAUAGAAAAAUUAACUAAAUCAUAAGUAGCUUCUAACCAUGAAUUGUUUUUUUUUUUUUAAGCCUAUAAAUUUUAUGCUUUAGAUACAUGCAUUAAAAAUCUAUCUAAACCAUAUAUAAUUAUUUUAAUGCAGUUAUAUAACUGAUAAAAAUAGAAAUAAAUUUAAUAAAUAUAAAAUAAUAAAAUAUUAGGAUAAGUAUUGAAGAUCAAUUUUCAGUCUUCAAACUUAAUCGAACUUGAAAGUGGAUGGCGAUGGAUACAAUGAUUUGAGCCAGGUCUUAAAUCUUUAACUUAAUGGAGCAAUUAUUGUAAUCUACUUAAUAAUUGGUCAGUAUAAAAUUAAAUAAUAAUAAAAGGAGAAAGAAAAGGACACGUGUUUGACGUGGACGUUGCCAAAACAGCGGUUUCAGACAGGCCUUUUACUGCCCGAGCGCCAGUGGAUUAACAAAGAAAACAAUGAGCACAUCAGUGGAAGCGGCACCAGCUACCAAGUAUGCAGCUGAAAUGCCCCUUGGAAUUACAAAUCGAAGGACAAAAGAGUCAUUCCAGACCAACCCAGAAAUACAGCUGACCCCUGCCUCUGGUUUUUCCCCAAACCUUGUGCCUUUCUCUAUCUAUAUAAUCCAGCCCACCUUCUCUCCAUCUUCUUCAUCGCAACACAAACGCUUUGAUUUACUGAGAGAUCUUCCAUAUCAAUUCACUACUGAGAUUGUUGUUUGGGCUUUGAGUUCUUGGGAAAGAAAGUUAAGAAGAUGAGUCAUAUGAGGAAAGCUUGGGUGGUGGCAGCAAGCGUGGGAGCAGUGGAGGCACUCAAGGAUCAGGGCUUCUGCAGAUGGAACUACACUCUGAGGUCUAUUCACCAGCAUGCCAAGAACAACCUCAGGUCCUUUUCUCAGGCCAGGAAGCUCUCUUCUUCCUCUUCUGCAAUGGUUUCUAGCAGAAUGAGAGACGAGAAGGCAAAGCAGUCAGAGGAGUCUCUGAGGACUGUCAUGUACCUGAGCUGCUGGGGACCCAACUGAGACGUUCCACAUUUCGAGUGAUCAAGAAGAAGAUGAUGAUGACGAAAGAUUCAUGGAGGGAGCAUGUGAAGGAAGUCAUGAGAAGGGGAGAUGAAAACCAUUAAUGGAGAAGAGAGAUCCAUCUGUGGAUGAAGGCAGUGGAAAUUUGGAGCCGAGUGAGUCAUGGGUAAUGGUUCUUAUGAGUUGGGAAAUUAUCAGCAAAGUGCUUUCUCAACCUCAGAUGCUUUGGGAGGAAUGGGAAUUUACCAGAAAAUUG
This 14127-nucleotide long non-coding RNA is filed under the name Vitis vinifera (wine grape). Its description in RNAcentral is "long non-coding RNA (VVIN_LNC003761)". Lineage: Eukaryota; Viridiplantae; Streptophyta; Magnoliopsida; Vitales; Vitaceae. The record is from RNAcentral.